RNAcentral lists this ribosomal RNA (488 nucleotides) under uncultured bacterium. Its description in RNAcentral is "partial 16S ribosomal RNA". It matches the Rfam family "Bacterial small subunit ribosomal RNA", at positions 28 to 507 of the family's 1533-position model. The record is from RNAcentral.
GACGAACGCUGGCGGCGUGCUUAACACAUGCAAGUCGAACGGAAAGGCCCUGCUUUUGUGGGGUGCUCGAGUGGCGAACGGGUGAGUAACACGUGAGUAACCUGCCCUUGACUUUGGGAUAACUUCAGGAAACUGGGGCUAAUACCGGAUAGGAGCUCCUGCUGCAUGGUGGGGGUUGGAAAGUUUCGGCGGUUGGGGAUGGACUCGCGGCUUAUCAGCUUGUUGGUGGGGUAGUGGCUUACCAAGGCGUUGACGGGUAGCCGGCCUGAGAGGGUGACCGGCCACACUAGAACUGAGACACGGGCCAGACUCCUACGAGAAGCAGGGGUGAGGAAUAUGGGACAAGGGUGGCAAGCGUGAUCCAGCGGUACCGCGUGGGGGAAGAAGGUCUUCGGGUUGGAAAGCCCUUUUGUUGGGAAAGAAAAGCAGCAGGUUAAUACCCCGCGGUUCUGGCGGUACCCAAAGAAUAAGCACGGGCUAACUUGGUG